RNAcentral lists this ribosomal RNA (429 nucleotides) under uncultured prokaryote. Its description in RNAcentral is "bacterial SSU rRNA". It matches the Rfam family "Bacterial small subunit ribosomal RNA", at positions 355 to 776 of the family's 1533-position model. RNAcentral also lists the same sequence under 1 other name. The record is from RNAcentral.
UGGGGAAUAUUGGACAAUGGGGGCAACCCUGAUCCAGCCAUGCCGCGUGUGUGAAGAAGGUCUUCGGAUUGUAAAGCACUUUAAGUUGGGAGGAAGGGUUCGUUACUAAUAUUAGCGAGCUUUGACGUUACCGACAGAAUAAGCACCGGCUAACUUCGUGCCAGCAGCCGCGGUAAUACGAAGGGUGCAAGCGUUAAUCGGAAUUACUGGGCGUAAAGCGCGCGUAGGUGGUUCGUUAAGUUGGGAGUGAAAUCCCCGGGCUCAACCUGGGAAUUGCUUCCAAAACUGGCGAGCUAGAGUAUGGUAGAGGGUGGUGGAAUUUCCUGUGUAGCGGUGAAAUGCGUAGAUAUAGGAAGGAACAUCAGUGGCGAAGGCGACCACCUGGACUAAUACUGACACUGAGGUGCGAAAGCGUGGGGAGCAAACAGG